AUGGGAUUCUCCUACUCAGGGGCGGAUCCAACCACAGGCUUGGUAGGGCUCAAGCCCUACCGGACUUUUUGGGCCCAAAAAAAAAAUUAGGUAUAUACAUAUGUUUUUUUUUUUUUUUGUACCAGUCAUCUCGUUUCAAGCCCUACAGGCUACAGCCGCGACUUGCCGUCUUGCCGACUUGGACUCUCGGACUCUUGGAGGCUGGCCGCUGGAGCACAGAGGCGCAGAGGCGGCAGAGCAAUCUGACUCACUCAGCGACCCGGGUCACCCGGCGAUCUGCAAAAGUGCAAGGCUGGAAGCCUGGAACCAGCAACUGAGCAACCCAUCUCCGGUAAUCCGGUCUCCGAGGCUCCGAGAUCCCCACCGCGGCACCGCCACGGCGCCUCCAGCCCACCACUCCACCAGCAACCCCUCUGGUUGUCUCCGUCACUCCGUGGACCGUGAUUUGCAGAAAUUCCCAGAUUUGCAGAAAUGAUAUAAUUGCAGAAAUUGCAGAAAUUGCAGAUUUGCAGAAAUGAUAUAAUUGCACAAACGAAUUGAUGAGUUGAUGUUGAUUACUUGAUUUUAAUAAAGGUAAUGAUACUGAUUGAGUGAUUGGGUAGUUAUAUAAUUGCUAAAUUGCAGAUUUGCAGAAAUUCCCAGAUUUGCAGAAAUGAUAUAAUUGCAGAAAUUGCAGAUUUGGUAUAAUUGCAAAAAUUGCAGAUUUGCAGAAAUGAUAUAAUUGCAGAAACGAAUUGAUGAGUUGAUGUUGAUUACGAAUUGUUGAGUUGAUGUUGAUUACUUGAUUUUUCCCUAUGCUUCAUAGAUUGAUUUGUUUGAUUUUGACCAUUCCUGUUUCUACGGCAACCAUUGAAAGAGCAUUUUCAGCUAUAAACAUUGUUAAAAAUAAACUCAGAAACAAAAUGGAAGAUGAGUUUCUUGGUGAUUGUAUGGUCCUUCACAUUGAGAAAGAGUAUGCUGAAUCUAUUGACAAUGAUGAGGUGAUAAAAGAGUUUGAAGCUUCAUGUACUCGUAGAGUUAGAUUUAGUUAGGUUAUGCUCUUGUAUUAUAUUGCAUUGCACGUUUAUUUGAUUAUUGAGUUUGUUUUUUAAUUUUGUAUAUGCAUUAGAGGGGUAAGGCUCAUUAUGUCCCCCCUGACUAGGUGUAUCAUUUUUUCAAUUAAUAAAAUUCUCUCGCACCGUCGAGAUUCUCUA
This is a long non-coding RNA of Rosa chinensis, 1193 nucleotides long. RefSeq lists it as uncharacterized. NCBI's taxonomy places the organism in Eukaryota, Viridiplantae, Streptophyta, Magnoliopsida, Rosales, Rosaceae. The record is from RefSeq and is a predicted model, not a curated record. The transcript has 2 exons.